ACAUGGCAGACUCAGUUGGUGGAAUGUGGGACUCUUGAUCCCAGGGUUGUGAGUUCGAAUCCCAUGUUGGGUA
This 73-nucleotide transfer RNA is filed under the name Felis catus (domestic cat). It matches the Rfam family "tRNA". Rfam says of the family: Transfer RNA (tRNA) molecules are approximately 80 nucleotides in length. Their secondary structure includes four short double-helical elements and three loops (D, anti-codon, and T loops). Further hydrogen bonds mediate the characteristic L-shaped molecular structure. tRNAs have two regions of fundamental functional importance: the anti-codon, which is responsible for specific mRNA codon recognition, and the 3' end, to which the tRNAs corresponding amino acid is attached (by aminoacyl-tRNA synthetases). tRNAs cope with the degeneracy of the genetic code in two manners: having more than one tRNA (with a specific anti-codon) for a particular amino acid; and 'wobble' base-pairing, i.e. permitting non-standard base-pairing at the 3rd anti-codon position. The record is from Rfam by way of RNAcentral. Lineage: Eukaryota; Metazoa; Chordata; Mammalia; Carnivora; Felidae.